GCCGGACCGAAGCGAGGGGCGACGCCGGCGGCGCCAUGGUCGCCGCGGUCGCCGGAGGCGCGGCCGGCGGUUCACUGCCACCGGACUGGCA
RNAcentral lists this transfer RNA (91 nucleotides) under Amycolatopsis acidiphila. RNAcentral's name for it is "tRNA-His". The record is from RNAcentral. Lineage: Bacteria; Bacillati; Actinomycetota; Actinomycetes; Pseudonocardiales; Pseudonocardiaceae.